CUGGCUCAGGAUGAACGCUGGCGGCGUGCCUAACACAUGCAAGUCGAGCGAAGCGCUUUACUUGAAUUCUUCGGAAGGAAAGUAUUGUGACUGAGCGGCGGACGGGUGAGUAACGCGUGGGUAACCUGCCUCAUACAGGGGGAUAACAGUUAGAAAUGACUGCUAAUACCGCAUAAGACCACAGCACCGCAUGGUGCGGGGGUAAAAACUCCGGUGGUAUGAGAUGGACCCGCGUCUGAUUAGCUAGUUGGUAAGGUAAGGGCUUACCAAGGCGACGAUCAGUAGCCGACCUGAGAGGGUGAUCGGCCACAUUGGGACUGAGACACGGCCCAAACUCCUACGGGAGGCAGCAGUGGGGAAUAUUGCACAAUGGGGGAAACCCUGAUGCAGCGACGCCGCGUGAGUGAUGAAGUAUUUCGGUAUGUAAAGCUCUAUCAGCAGGGAAGAAAAUGACGGUACCUGACUAAGAAGCACCGGCUAAAUACGUGCCAGCAGCCGCGGUAAUACGUAUGGUGCAAGCGUUAUCCGGAUUUACUGGGUGUAAAGGGAGCGUAGACGGAGAGGCAAGUCUGAUGUGAAAACCCGGGGCUCAACCCCGGGACUGCAUUGGAAACUGUUUUUCUAGAGUGUCGGAGAGGCAAGUGGAAUUCCUAGUGUAGCGGUGAAAUGCGUAGAUAUUAGGAGGAACACCAGUGGCGAAGGCGGCUUGCUGGACGAUGACUGACGUUGAGGCUCGAAAGCGUGGGGAGCAAACAGGAUUAGAUACCCUGGUAGUCCACGCCGUAAACGAUGAGUAUUAGGUGUCGGGGGGCAAAAGCCAUUCGGUGCCGCAGCAAACGCCAUAAAUAGUCCCCCCGGGGAGUACGUUCGCAAGAAAGAAACUCAAAGGAAAUGACGGGGACCCGCCACAAGCGGUGGAGCAUGUGGUUUAAUUCGAAGCAACGCGAAGAACCUUACCUGCUCUUGACAUCCCCCUGACCGUCCCUUAAUCGGGGCUGUCCUUCGGGACAGGGGAGACAGGUGGUGCAUGGUUGUCGUCAGCUCGUGUCGUGAGAUGUUGGGUUAAGUCCCGCAACGAGCGCAACCCCUAUCUUUAGUAGCCAGCGGCCAGGCCGGGCACUCUAGAGAGACUGCCAGGGAUAACCUGGAGGAAGGUGGGGAGGACGUCAAAUCAUCAUGCCCCUUAUGAGCAGGGCUACACACGUGCUACAAUGGCGUAAACAAAGGGAGGCAGAGCCGCGAGGCCGAGCAAAUCUCAAAAAUAACGUCUCAGUUCGGAUUGUAGUCUGCAACUCGACUACAUGAAGCUGGAAUCGCUAGUAAUCGCGAAUCAGAAUGUCGCGGUGAAUACGUUCCCGGGUCUUGCACA
This 1369-nucleotide ribosomal RNA is filed under the name uncultured bacterium. RNAcentral describes it as "bacterial SSU rRNA". It matches the Rfam family "Bacterial small subunit ribosomal RNA", at positions 19 to 1387 of the family's 1533-position model. The record is from RNAcentral.